Molecule: ribosomal RNA, 543 nt
Filed under: Aureobasidium proteae
Lineage: Eukaryota; Fungi; Ascomycota; Dothideomycetes; Dothideales; Saccotheciaceae
Description: eukaryotic LSU rRNA
Rfam family: Eukaryotic large subunit ribosomal RNA
Source: RNAcentral
UGCCCUAGUAACGGCGAGUGAAGCGGCAACAGCUCAAAUUUGAAAGCUAGCCUUCGGGUUCGCAUUGUAAUUUGUAGAGGAUGAUUUGGGGAAGCCGCCUGUCUAAGUUCCUUGGAACAGGACGUCAUAGAGGGUGAGAAUCCCGUAUGUGACAGGAAAUGGCACCCUAUGUAAAUCUCCUUCGACGAGUCGAGUUGUUUGGGAAUGCAGCUCUAAAUGGGAGGUAAAUUUCUUCUAAAGCUAAAUAUUGGCGAGAGACCGAUAGCGCACAAGUAGAGUGAUCGAAAGAUGAAAAGCACUUUGGAAAGAGAGUUAAAAAGCACGUGAAAUUGUUGAAAGGGAAGCGCUUGCAAUCAGACUUGUUUAAACUGUUCGGCCGGUCUUCUGACCGGUUUACUCAGUUUGGACAGGCCAGCAUCAGUUUCGGCGGCCGGAUAAAGGCUCUGGGAAUGUGGCCUCCACUUCGGUGGAGGUGUUAUAGCCCAGGGUGUAAUACGGCCAGCCGGGACUGAGGUCCGCGCUUCGGCUAGGAUGCUGGCGUAA